CCCGAUAAAGGUAAACCCUGAGCAAUCAGGGGGCGCAAAGUAAAGGGUCUUGCCAAGCCGUUGAAACAGUUUCAACGGCUUAAGCGGUUUUUUCUAAAAGACAGCCUUACUGCCGAAG
RNAcentral lists this non-coding RNA (118 nucleotides) under Candidatus Brocadia. Its description in RNAcentral is "c-di-GMP sequence". It matches the Rfam family "c-di-GMP-I-GGC riboswitch aptamer". The record is from RNAcentral. RNAcentral also lists the same sequence under 1 other name. Lineage: Bacteria; Pseudomonadati; Planctomycetota; Candidatus Brocadiia; Candidatus Brocadiales; Candidatus Brocadiaceae.